RNAcentral lists this ribosomal RNA (1195 nucleotides) under Chryseobacterium aquaticum. Its description in RNAcentral is "bacterial SSU rRNA". It matches the Rfam family "Bacterial small subunit ribosomal RNA", at positions 89 to 1292 of the family's 1533-position model. The record is from RNAcentral. Lineage: Bacteria; Pseudomonadati; Bacteroidota; Flavobacteriia; Flavobacteriales; Weeksellaceae.
UUGAGAGCGGCGCACGGGUGCGGAACACGUGUGCAACCUGCCUUUAUCUGGGGGAUAGCCUUUCGAAAGGAAGAUUAAUACCCCAUAAUAUAUUGAGUGGCAUCACUUGAUAUUGAAAACUCCGGUGGAUAGAGAUGGGCACGCGCAAGAUUAGAUAGUUGGUGAGGUAACGGCUCACCAAGUCAAUGAUCUUUAGGGGGCCUGAGAGGGUGAUCCCCCACACUGGUACUGAGACACGGACCAGACUCCUACGGGAGGCAGCAGUGAGGAAUAUUGGACAAUGGGUGAGAGCCUGAUCCAGCCAUCCCGCGUGAAGGACGACUGCCCUAUGGGUUGUAAACUUCUUUUAUACUGGGAUAAACCUACCCUCGUGAGGGUAGCUGAAGGUACAGUAUGAAUAAGCACCGGCUAACUCCGUGCCAGCAGCCGCGGUAAUACGGAGGGUGCAAGCGUUAUCCGGAUUUAUUGGGUUUAAAGGGUCCGUAGGCGGACUCGUAAGUCAGUGGUGAAAUCUCAUAGCUUAACUAUGAAACUGCCAUUGAUACUGCGGGUCUUGAGUAAAGUAGAAGUGGCUGGAAUAAGUAGUGUAGCGGUGAAAUGCAUAGAUAUUACUUAGAACACCAAUUGCGAAGGCAGGUCACUAUGUUUUAACUGACGCUGAUGGACGAAAGCGUGGGGAGCGAACAGGAUUAGAUACCCUGGUAGUCCACGCCGUAAACGAUGCUAACUCGUUUUUGGGUUUUCGGAUUCAGAGACUAAGCGAAAGUGAUAAGUUAGCCACCUGGGGAGUACGUUCGCAAGAAUGAAACUCAAAGGAAUUGACGGGGGCCCGCACAAGCGGUGGAUUAUGUGGUUUAAUUCGAUGAUACGCGAGGAACCUUACCAAGGCUUAAAUGGGAAUUGACAGGUUUAGAAAUAGAUCCUUCUUCGGACAAUUUUCAAGGUGCUGCAUGGUUGUCGUCAGCUCGUGCCGUGAGGUGUUAGGUUAAGUCCUGCAACGAGCGCAACCCCUGUCACUAGUUGCCAUCAUUCAGUUGGGGACUCUAGUGAGACUGCCUACGCAAGUAGAGAGGAAGGUGGGGAUGACGUCAAAUCAUCACGGCCCUUACGCCUUGGGCCACACACGUAAUACAAUGGCCGGUACAGAGGGCAGCUACUAUGCGAAUAGAUGCGAAUCUCGAAAGCCGGUCUCAGU